UUCUUUUCUACAUAACAAGAUCUGUGUUCAGCGAUCCUGGCGUCUCCUUCGGGGGUCUGUCCGGUUGAUUGCUGUCCAGCUCGACUUUUAUGGAGCCAUCAGACUAUUGUGAUGUCAAUUUUCCGGUCGACAGAUUUGAGAACAAUGUGGCCCUGGGACAGCACCUGAGCUCGCUACGGCUGAGCUCGGUGUGUAACCUUGGUCAAGAGCGUCAUAUUCCUGAUCCCUUCGCUGAGGCCGUCGGCUUGUGAAGUUGGGGAAAAACCAUGACUUGCUUACAUCU
Small RNA from Aureobasidium pullulans, 283 nucleotides. It matches the Rfam family "A. fumigatus sRNA Afu_309". The record is from Rfam. Lineage: Eukaryota; Fungi; Ascomycota; Dothideomycetes; Dothideales; Saccotheciaceae.